CCUACGGGAGGCAGCAGUGGGGGAUAUUGGACAAUGGGGGGAACCCUGAUCCAGCGACGCCGCGUGAGUGAAGAAGUAUUUCGGUAUGUAAAGCUCUGUCAGCAGGGAAGAAAGCAAUGACGGUACCUGACCAAGAAGCCCCGGCUAACUACGCGCCAGCAGCCGCGGAAAUACGUAGGGGGCACGCGUUAUCCGGAUUUACUGGGUGUAAAGGGAGUGUAGACGGCUGUGCAAGUCUGGUGUGAAAGGCGGGGGCCCAACCCCCGGACUGCUCUGGAAACUGUAUGGCUGGAGUGCAGGAGAGGUAAGUGGAAUUCCUAGUGUAGCGGUGAAAUGCGUAGAUAUUAGGAGGAACACCAGUGGCGAAGGCGACUUACUGGACUGUAACUGACGUUGAGGCUCGAAAGCGUGGGGAGCAAACAGGAUUAGAUACCCCUGUAGUC
RNAcentral lists this ribosomal RNA (443 nucleotides) under uncultured bacterium. RNAcentral's name for it is "partial 16S ribosomal RNA". It matches the Rfam family "Bacterial small subunit ribosomal RNA", at positions 338 to 795 of the family's 1533-position model. The record is from RNAcentral.